UUUGAGUUUAAAAAGUACGUGUGAAGAUGAACGGUAGUGAUUGCCAAGACCAGCAGGGAUGAAUGAAUCUAUGGAUCACAUAAUUCUGAGAAGUCAGACAUAAGAGUAAAACUGUUUUAGAAAUAGUUUGAGUAUUGAUUAGAUAGAGAUAGAAUAUAUCAUUCAUAGAGUGAAGAUGUUGAUACCUUUUCAUAUAGCAAGAAGAGUGUGAUUCCCAUAAAUUCACCAUCCUUCUUGAUCUUACUCGGAUCCCAGAAGCGGAAGAGCCGGCCAACAUUGAACUGAGAAGACCAACCUAGGCGGAGCUUGGUCCCGAGAGGACGGUAGAA
This 329-nucleotide long non-coding RNA is filed under the name Brassica napus (rape). RNAcentral's name for it is "long non-coding RNA (BNAP_LNC003436)". Lineage: Eukaryota; Viridiplantae; Streptophyta; Magnoliopsida; Brassicales; Brassicaceae. The record is from RNAcentral.